Molecule: long non-coding RNA, 1978 nt
Filed under: Ananas comosus (pineapple)
Lineage: Eukaryota; Viridiplantae; Streptophyta; Magnoliopsida; Poales; Bromeliaceae
Description: long non-coding RNA (ACOM_LNC010537)
Source: RNAcentral
UUUUUUUUUUCCAAACUGAAUUCCAAUAGGAAUAAGGGGGUAUUUGGCCUAGCUUUUCAGAAGUGAUUCUGUUUGAGUUCAGUAGAGUGUUUGAAAGCGACAGAUGAAAAAUCUGAUUCUACUUUUCAGAAUCAGAAAACUAAUUUUGGAGGCUCCAGAAUAAAAAAACUGUUUCUCCAAAACUGAUUCUGAUUUUAAACUCAAACUUUAAAUUUUUAUUUUUAUUUUAAAUUCAAAGUAUAAAUUUAAUAUUAAAUUUUAAAUUUUAAAUUUUAAAUUCAUAUUUGAAUUUUUAAAUCUCAACUUUUUUAAUUUAAAAUUUAAAAUUUAAAAUUUAAGUUUAAAAUCUCAAAUUUUAAAUUUUAAAUUUAAGAUAAAAUUUAAAUUUUGACAUUUCAGAUUUUAAAACUUAAAUUAAAAAAAUUUAAAUUUCAAAUUUAUUUUUGUGCAAAUUUGAAAUUUAAAAAUUAUACUUUUAAUUCAAAUUUAAAUUUUUAGUUAUAUUAAAAUAAAAUUUAGGAAAAAUAUUAUCAAGUAUCAAAAUUUUUUUUGCCAACAGAUUUAGAAAAUCAUUUGAGAAAAAUCACUUUUAUCUAUACUCAGCCAAACGUUCUAUAGUUUUUCACCAAAAUAAAUUCUUCAAAUCAAAAUCAUUUCUGUAAAAAAUCACUUUUUCAAAAGCUAGGCCAAACAGCCCCUAAUUUAUCUGAUACUAAAAGUAUAUAAUUUCGAAUACCGGUAUAAAAAAUAAAAAUUUAUAUAAAUAAAAAUACUAUAUCAAACUUUAUUACUUGGAGAAGAUAUAAUUAUAUCAAUGCAAUAUCUAUUAUUAUACAUAUUAUUGUAAAAAUUUAGGGUGAACUUCAAAUACUACCCUUGUGAUUUCAUAUUCUAUCAUUUUAGUAUCUUAUAAUUUAAAGUGUAUCACUUUAGUACCCUACCCCUGUUUGGUUCAGAGUUAAGGGGUGGAAUAACCUCUUAACCCCAAAGUUAUUCCCAAACACCCAAAUUGAGGGGUGGGGUUAGCUAACCUCACCCCACCCACCCACCCUACUACUCCAACUAAACAAAACACUAUGUUACUCACUAUCCUUCUUAUCCCACCUACUCCAACCAAAUACUAUUUUAUCCAUACAUGGACUAAACUCAAUUCUCAACCAAAUACAAAAUUACUCUAACCCCACUUUAACCUUGAACUUAACCCUAUUCCUAAAAUAACAAGUUUUUACUUAACCCCGAACCAAACGAUAGCCUAUAGUUUCAUUUUUCUCUUUCCGCCAAUACUUCCGUUAACUCUCCGUUAAAUCACAUACAAAGAAUUUUAGAUACCCCAUUUAUGGUUUAUCAAAUAUUCACUUUAGUAUCCUAUAGUUUGUCGAAUUUUUACUUUCAUAUCCUAUGGUUUACCGAAUUUUUACUUUAGUAUAUUGUGAUUUUAAUUCUGUCACUAAUUUAACGAAAAAUUAAUGAAAAGAAUAAUGAAAAGAAAAAAAUAAAAUCAUAGAAUACUAAAGUGAUGAAUUUUAAAUCAUAUGGUACUUAAUUUAAAAUUCAUCACUUUAGUAUUUUAUGAUUUUUUUUUUUUCGUUAUCCCCUAUGAUCUCAUAGGGUACUUAAAUGAGAAAGCGCAAAAUGACAAUAGUGAUAUUUGAAGUUUUUUUUCAAAAUUUAUAUCCAUAAUCAGAUGAAUUCGAAUUUGAAGUUUAUUUAUUUAUUUAUUUAUUUAUUUCCUGAUGAUCGUUUUUUUACCCUAGUAUAUUAUUUUAUUAUUUUUUCUUUACUCUCUUUCACUGUAAUUAACUUCGGCCCACGAUGGGUCGAAUUCAAUUACGUCAUUUCGGAUUAACUUGAGUUUCGAUCGUGACUAUUUUACGGCAAACCAAACAAUAAAAGUGGUAACUUAAGACGUAAAUGACUUCACCCCUCUUCACUUUUCCCUCACUUCUACCUAAUCAAACACACCCUUAGAUUUGUAUUC